RNAcentral lists this ribosomal RNA (433 nucleotides) under uncultured bacterium. RNAcentral's name for it is "partial 16S ribosomal RNA". It matches the Rfam family "Bacterial small subunit ribosomal RNA", at positions 29 to 507 of the family's 1533-position model. The record is from RNAcentral.
AACGAACGCUGGCGGCAUGCCUAACACAUGCAAGUCGAACGAGACCUUCGGGUCUAGUGGCGCACGGGUGCGUAACGCGUGGGAACCUGCCCUUAGGUUCGGAAUACUUCCCCGAAAGGGGUGCUAAUACCGGAUAAUGUCUUCGGACCAAAGAUUUAUCGCCUUUGGAUGGGCCCGCGUUGGAUUAGCUAGUUGGUAGGGUAAAAGCCUACCAAGGCGACGAUCCAUAGCUGGUCUGAGAGGGUGACCAGCCACACUGGGACUGAGACACGGCCCAGACUCCUACGGGAGGCAGCAGUGGGGAAUAGUGGACAAUGGGCGAAAGCCUGAUCGAGCAAUGCCGCGUGAGUGAUGAAGGCCUUAGGGUAGUAAAGCUCUUUUACCCGGGAGGAUAAUGACAGUACCGGGAGAAUAAGCUCCGGCUAACUCCGUG